AUGCCAGCACUUAGCAACUUUCACUUGCUGGCAUCGUCUCGUGCCAAGAACAGUGAGGAUGCUCCGAGAGACCCAGCGGCUACUUUCUUCUGGUGUCAGAUGAGAGGGGAAGGGCUGCUCAGAUGGGAAGACGCCCUUUUUUGUUCAUCCUUACGACGUCUAAGGGCACACUUUGUCUUCUCAACGAGGCUGGGAGCUGGCGGUCUCAGGAGGAACAGUUGCGGAGAAGGGCUGAGGGCUGAGCAGGACGGUCCCAGCACGGCAUCCUGUCUCAGGUCCCACCGCUGGAGCCGCACGCGUUGCUGGCCUGGUUCAAGAAGCCAUUCCAAAGACACCAUUCCACAGAAAGGAAAAUCAGUAAUUUCUUUCCCCCGUGUCGCUCCAUGGGUGGCAAGGACACAUACACCCACCCGCGACUAUGAGGGAGUGUACCCGGAGCGAAAGGCAUGGCUCUAA
This 456-nucleotide long non-coding RNA is filed under the name Felis catus (domestic cat). RNAcentral's name for it is "lncRNA (ENSFCAG00000048080.1)". Lineage: Eukaryota; Metazoa; Chordata; Mammalia; Carnivora; Felidae. The record is from RNAcentral.